GGGGCCAUUAGUGAAUAAACAAGUACCGAGGAACAAACGGAUAGAUCUAUUUGGGUUUUGGCAAGCCCCACUCUUAACGACAACGAUAACCACGAUCGUCAAGAGUGCCUUUGUGUCCAAACUAGUGUCGUUGACACACACGAUAAAUUGUCAAGGAGAUUAGUGGACGGCUGUGGAAAAAUAUGUUCAAGUGGUUAUCAAGAACGCAAGCUUUUGUGAUGUCAUCUGUUUUCGGUUGUUAUGUUUUGAACUUUGAAUAAUGUGGUUAAAGUUGUUGUUGUUUCAAGUUUCAAACAAGACAUAUGUAAUGUAAAUUAUGAUUUCGAAUCAAAUGUAUGGAUGAACAUCUUUUAUGUUU
Long non-coding RNA from Helianthus annuus (common sunflower), 358 nucleotides. RefSeq lists it as uncharacterized. NCBI's taxonomy places the organism in Eukaryota, Viridiplantae, Streptophyta, Magnoliopsida, Asterales, Asteraceae. The record is from RefSeq and is a predicted model, not a curated record. The transcript has 2 exons.